This is a long non-coding RNA of Terrapene triunguis (Three-toed box turtle), 701 nucleotides long. RefSeq lists it as uncharacterized. Lineage: Eukaryota; Metazoa; Chordata; Testudines; Emydidae. The transcript is spliced from 3 exons. The record is from RefSeq and is a predicted model, not a curated record.
GACAAGAGCAAAAUUCAGUGUGAAAGUUUUUCAGACGUUACUCCUGGGGGGAAGUCUGAGCCACUGUGCAUAAUUCAUGUCCCCCUGCAGAUUUUUCCCCCCCUCCAAGAAUAUAGAUUCUGCUGGAGAGACACUGCAGUUAUACCUUUUGCACAUCAAAGUCUGCUGUGGAGCCAGAAGAGAGGACAGCCAGCUGGUGGAGAGGGAGGCAAAGAGGCUGCAUUCCUCACAGCGGGACCAGAACAGAUAUAGUAUGGCCAACAGCAGCGCAAACUUCUCCAUAUUACCCCCACCAACAAACUUCAACCUUGACGUCAGGGGAAUCCCAUCUAGGGGUUACAGGGACCAUGAAGAUCAUGAAGAUAUUUGGGCAUAUUUUGACACUUAGAAGCACUCAAGUCAGGACGCCCUCUAACAGGAGGAAAGAUUCUCACUGGCAAACAUUACUUACAUACUGAACCACAGUAUCUGAGGAACUGCUUAAAUUAUGGGAGCCACAUAAGUACAAUGCACAGUUUGCGCUAAACAUCAGCCAGUGCUCUGUUAGUGUGGGCAUUUCCAGACUCUAGAGUUCCACAAUGAUUUUCAAAAAGUGAAUUGAAAAGUAAAAGUUUAUGCCCUUUACUGCUAUUUUGUAAUGUAUAGUGACCGCCGAGAAGGUUUUUUUUCCCCCUCAAAAAAGCUUUUUUUGAAAAAAAAAA